This 522-nucleotide ribosomal RNA is filed under the name uncultured bacterium. Its description in RNAcentral is "bacterial SSU rRNA". It matches the Rfam family "Bacterial small subunit ribosomal RNA", at positions 28 to 596 of the family's 1533-position model. The record is from RNAcentral.
AGCGAACGCUGGCGGCAGGCCUAACACAUGCAAGUCGAACGGACCCUUCGGGGUUAGUGGCGGACGGGUGAGUAACACGUGGGAACGUGCCUUUAGGUUCGGAAUAGCCCUGGAAACGGGUGGUAAUGCCGAAUGUGCCCUUUGGGGGAAAGAUUUAUCGCCUUUAGAGCGGCCCGCGUCUGAUUAGCUUGUUGGUGGGGUAAUGGCCCACCAAGGCUACGAUCAGUAGCUGGUCUGAGAGGAGGACCAGCCACAUUGGGACUGAGACACGGCCCAAACUCCUACGGGAGGCAGCAGUGGGGAAUCUUGCGCAAUGGGCGAAAGCCUGACGCAGCCAUGCCGCGUGUAUGAUGAAGGUCUUAGGAUUGUAAAAUACUUUCACCGGUGAAGAUAAUGACUGUAGCCGGAGAAGAAGCCCCGGCUAACUUCGUGCCAGCAGCCGCGGUAAUACGAAGGGGGCGUAGCGUUGCUCGGAAUUACUGGGCGUAAAGGGAGCGUAGGCGGACAUUUAAGUCAGGGGUG